GACGAACGCUGGCGGCGUGCUUAACACAUGCAAGUCGAACGGAAAGGCCCUGCUUUUGUGGGGUGCUCGAGUGGCGAACGGGUGAGUAACACGUGAGUAACCUGCCCUUGACUUUGGGAUAACUUCAGGAAACUGGGGCUAAUACCGGAUAGGAGCUCCUGCCGCAUGGUGGGGGUUGGAAAGUUUUGGCGGUUGGGGAUGGACUCGCGGCUUAUCAGCUUGUUGGUGGGGUAGUGGCUUACCAAGGCUUUGACGGGUAGCCGGCCUGAGAGGGUGACCGGCCACAUUGGGACUGAGAUACGGCCCAGACUCCUACGGGAGGCAGCAGUGGGGAAUAUUGCACAAUGGGCGGAAGCCUGAUGCAGCAACGCCGCGUGCGGGAUGACGGCCUUCGGGUUGUAAACCGCUUUCGCCUGUGACGAAGCGUGAGUGACGGUAAUGGGUAAAGAAGCACCGGCUAACUACGUG
This 468-nucleotide ribosomal RNA is filed under the name uncultured bacterium. RNAcentral's name for it is "partial 16S ribosomal RNA". It matches the Rfam family "Bacterial small subunit ribosomal RNA", at positions 28 to 507 of the family's 1533-position model. The record is from RNAcentral.